Octopus bimaculoides (California two-spot octopus) is the source of this 997-nucleotide long non-coding RNA. RefSeq lists it as uncharacterized. Lineage: Eukaryota; Metazoa; Mollusca; Cephalopoda; Octopoda; Octopodidae. The record is from RefSeq and is a predicted model, not a curated record.
AUCCGGCCUGGAAGUUGUUUUCCGUAAGCAAGUCGAUGUCAAAACGGCUGGUAAGAUGCCAAACGGCUGAUAAGAUGCCAAACGGCUGGUAACGAGUUAAGACUACCACCUAAGUAGGUCAUAGGAUUUGAACGCAGAAUGCAAAGAGAUGGAACAAAUACCGCAUGGCAUCCAGUUUGAUGUGCUAACAGUUCUGUCAAAUCACUACAUUGGUGUUUUUUUUAUUAACUACAAAAGGACAAAAAGCAAAGUUGACCUCGUAGGGUUAGAACUCAGGGCUUAGGGAGUCAGAAAAAUAUCGUAAAGCAUUUCGUCAGACUCCUAUUGUAAGGCCACUUUGUCGCCUGCCAAUAGGAAUGCUGAAGGCACCAAAAGGACCAAAUAGCGGUGUUAAAUCGAGCGAUGGAGGAAAUCUAUCACUCAAACAAAAAUAGUGAUGCAUACAAGGGAAGGAAGACAGAGAAAUGUCGCGGAAAUACUUCGAUGUUAUACUUCUCAGGACUAUGAAAAAUAUCGUCUUUGAAAGGUGAAAUAGAACACUAGCUCAUUAUUCGAAGUCCAACAUUGCACUAUCGUUGAACUGUCUUUUCUUAUUGUGUGCAAUUCUAAAUAUCUAUCGACUGUUUACGAACUGAAUUUAUGGAGACCGAUGUCAUUAUUAUACGUUUCAAGAAAUUCAACAGAUUUAUGAAAAUAUUUUGACUUCAAGCUACUAAUUUAGGUAUUUGUUUGAUUACUAAGCAGCUUGCAUGGCUAACAUGAUUUUCUCUGGAAUUAAUGGCUACGUACGAAGUGUAAAAACAGACUACAUAGAACUACAACAGUUCUAUAUCUUAAAACACGUAUCAAUCAUCGCCAUUUUAACUUUGUUACCCAGACAUCUUCCCAUCAAACAAUUAGUCUCUAAUUUCCUUAUGUGUUCGCUACUAUCAAUGUUGGUUUUUUUAUUAGUGUAACUCGAUUCCAACCAAUAAAGCGACUAAUAUGAUAUCUUAAA